UUCUUUAAGAAAUAAAUUAAAGUAACCCCUGCUCAAUGACAUGAUUAAAUAGCCGCAGUUUACUGUGCUAAGGUAGCAUAAUCACUUGCUUUAUAAUUGAAAGAUAGAAUGAAUGGUAAAACGACAUACAGCUUUCUUUAUUAAUCCGUAUUAAAUUAAUAUUACUGUAAAAAAGCAACAAUAACUAAAUAAGACGACAAGACCCUAAUAAACUUAAACAUUUAGUUGGGGAGACUGAUUAAAAAUUCCUUAACUCUAAUAUAAACAAACCUUAUAAAACAAUAAGAUAAGUUACUAUAGGGAUAACAGCGCAAUUUUUCUUAAAAGCUCUAAUUAAAAGAAAAGUUUACGACCUCGAUGUUGAAUUAAUUUCCUUAUAAACGCAAAAGUUUACACUAGUUAGUCUGUUCGACUAUUAAAAAAUU
This 425-nucleotide ribosomal RNA is filed under the name Metagonia furcata. RNAcentral describes it as "partial 16S ribosomal RNA". It matches the Rfam family "Bacterial large subunit ribosomal RNA", at positions 1829 to 2597 of the family's 2925-position model. The record is from RNAcentral. Lineage: Eukaryota; Metazoa; Arthropoda; Arachnida; Araneae; Pholcidae.